CACGGGGGUUGCGAGCGUUGUCCGGAAUUACUAGGCGUAAAGGGCAGGCAGGCGGAUCCAUAAGUUUAUCGUUUAAGGCGUCGGCUUAACCGGCGUAGGGCGGUAGAUACUGUGGAUCUGGAAUGCGGUUGGGGAAGACAGAAUUCCUGGUGUAGCGGUGGAAUGCGCAGAGAUCAGGAGGAAUACCGAAGGCGAAGGCAGUCUUCCAAGCCGUUAUUGACGCUCAACUGCGAAGGUGUGGGUAUCAAACAGGAUUAGAUACCCGCGUAGUCCCUGAG
This 278-nucleotide ribosomal RNA is filed under the name uncultured prokaryote. RNAcentral describes it as "partial 16S ribosomal RNA". It matches the Rfam family "Bacterial small subunit ribosomal RNA", at positions 524 to 801 of the family's 1533-position model. The record is from RNAcentral.